UGCCUUGAAGAGGGGGACAACCAGUUGGAAACGACUGCUUAUUCCGGCAUGACGCAUUAGGGUUAGCAUAUUUUAUAUGCCAAAGAUUUAUCGCUUCAAGAUGGCCUCGCGUCUGAUUAGCUGGUCGGCGGGGUAACGGCCCACCAAAGGCGACGAUCAGUAGCCGGACUGAGAGGUUGAACGGCCACAUUGGAACUGAGAAACGGUCCAGACUCUUACGGGAGGCAGCAGUGGGGAAUAUCGGGCAAUGGGCGAAAGCCUGACCCAGCAACGCCGCGUGAGGGAAGAAGGGUUUCGGCUCGUAAACCUCUGUCCUAUGGGACGAAGGAAGUGACGGUACCAUAGGAGGAAGCCCCGGCUAACUACGUGCCAGCAGCCGCGGUAAUACGUAGGGGGCGAGCGUUGUCCGGAAUGAUUGGGCGUAAAGGGCGCGUAGGCGGCCUGCUAAGUCUGGAGUGAAAGUCCUGCUUUCAAGGUGGGAAUUGCUUUGGAUACUGGGAGGCUGGAGUGCAGGAGAGGAAAGCGGAAUUACCGGUGUAGCGGUGAAAUGCGUAGAGAUCGGUAGGAACACCAGUGGCGAAGGCGGCUUUCUGGACUGUAACUGACGCUGAGGCGCGAAAGCGUGAGGAGCAAACAGGAUUAGAUACCCUGGUAGUCCACGCAGUAAACGAUGAUUACUAGUUGUU
This 686-nucleotide ribosomal RNA is filed under the name uncultured bacterium. Its description in RNAcentral is "bacterial SSU rRNA". It matches the Rfam family "Bacterial small subunit ribosomal RNA", at positions 127 to 824 of the family's 1533-position model. The record is from RNAcentral.